This 264-nucleotide ribosomal RNA is filed under the name uncultured bacterium. RNAcentral describes it as "partial 16S ribosomal RNA". It matches the Rfam family "Bacterial small subunit ribosomal RNA", at positions 95 to 354 of the family's 1533-position model. The record is from RNAcentral.
CCGGCGCACGGGUGAGUAACACGUAUGCAAACCCUGCCGUGCCACAGCCGGAUAAUCGGGAGAAAUUCCGUCUAAUACGGCAUAAUGCAUCGACGGGACUAUCCUGUUGGUGCCAAAGGUUAAUUCCGGUGGCGGAUGGGCAUGCGUCGCAUUAGUUAGUUGGCGGUGUAACGGACCACCAAGACGACGAUACAUAGGGGGACUGAGAGGUUAACCCCCACAUUGGUACUGAGACACGGACCAAACUCCUACGGAAGGCAGCAG